RNAcentral lists this long non-coding RNA (1208 nucleotides) under Fragaria vesca (wild strawberry). RNAcentral's name for it is "long non-coding RNA (FVES_LNC005156)". The record is from RNAcentral. Lineage: Eukaryota; Viridiplantae; Streptophyta; Magnoliopsida; Rosales; Rosaceae.
GGCUACACUUGGAGAGGCCGAAGACGAGGAAGAGGAUGUUGCGUAUCAAGAGCCCAACGCAAUAGGUAUUUCUAACUCCUCUACCGUUCGCCUUAAUAAUUUUAAAGCGGGUCGUUCGGUGCGAAUUCGUGAUGAAGAGACAAGACUUAUUGAUGUUGAUCCAAAUCAAGAAACAGACGAAGACUCUGGCGAUGAGGAAAGACAUAUAUUACCAGAAAUUAAUUCUGAUACCGAAAAAGACUCAUCGGAUGAUUCGAAUUGCGAGCCUUAAUUUUGAUUUAGAGGACAUAAUCCAUUAAUUUGUAUAACUAAAGACCUUUUCCUUUAUAGUUUACAUAUGUUGAAUUCAUAUUUCAAUUAUUUUAUAUGAAUUUUGGUGAUAUAUGAUGAACAGGAAGUUAGUAUGGUUUACUAAUAUCGUCUGUUUUUUUAAUGUAUUUUUUUCUUAAGCCGACGAAAUACACCAUAAUUCGUCGGCUAAAACCAUCUUAGCCGAUGAAUUAUAGUGUACUUCGUCGGCUUUAGUUAUUUUUUAAUUUUUUAAUUACAUACUAUAGCCGACGAAUACGUUAGGGUAUUCGUCGGCUAAACCCUAAAAUUUUUCUAUUACAUACUAUAGCCCUAUCUUCGGUGGUUAUUUUCCGUAAAAUUUUUAGACUACUUCUUACGUCUCAUCGGUUUGAAACUAUUUUUAGUUGGAGGUCCGGCCAAAAUAUGUAAUUUAGACGGUCGAACGACCUUUUCCGUGCGUUUAGGGGUUUGACUUACAAGAUUGACCGCCCGGAUAGAGCCCUUAUUCUUGUCGGAUCCAAUUGAAUUUUUUCCCAUACAUGUAUUUUGUCAUGAUGGUCAGAUCUGACGGUCGGAUUUCUGUUUCUCAAGUUUGAUCAUCACAAUCACAACAUGCCUACUAAUGUUAUGUAAAUGUUCCGUUUCAAAAACAAACUAUACGUAAAACCUUCAAACGCCAAAAAGUCGUGAAAUAAGAUAUGACGAGAAUGUUGAAAUACAUCCACGGUUGAAAAAUCACACUAUUCCGGUAAAUAUUCGGUGCCGAUAGUUGCGGUCAAUGCAAUUUUUCAUUCUUUCCCCCUAUGAGUAGCCCUAUCUUCGGUGGUUAUUUUGCGUAAAAUUUUUAUACGACUUGUUGCGUGUCAUCGAUUUAAAACUAUUUUCAGUUGAAGGUCCGGCCAAAAUACGUAAUUUAG